GCGGGUGUGGCGGAACUGGCAGACGCACGAGAUUUAGGUUCUCGCGCCGCAAGGUGUGCAGGUUCGAUUCCUGUCACCCGCACCA
This 85-nucleotide transfer RNA is filed under the name Ruminococcus sp. RNAcentral describes it as "tRNA-Leu". It matches the Rfam family "tRNA". Rfam says of the family: Transfer RNA (tRNA) molecules are approximately 80 nucleotides in length. Lineage: Bacteria; Bacillati; Bacillota; Clostridia; Eubacteriales; Oscillospiraceae. The record is from RNAcentral. RNAcentral also lists the same sequence under 1 other name.